RNAcentral lists this ribosomal RNA (444 nucleotides) under uncultured bacterium. Its description in RNAcentral is "partial 16S ribosomal RNA". It matches the Rfam family "Bacterial small subunit ribosomal RNA", at positions 331 to 792 of the family's 1533-position model. The record is from RNAcentral.
CCAGACUCCUACGGGAGGCAGCAGUGGGGAAUAUUGCACAAUGGGGGAAACCCUGAUGCAGCGACGCCACGUGGGUGAAGGAGCACCUCGGUGCGUAAAGCCCUAUCGGCAGGGAAGAAACAGACGGUACCUGACUAAGAAGCCCCGGCUAACUACGUGCCAGCAGCCGCGGUAAUACGUAGGGGGCAAGCGUUAUCCGGAUUUACUGGGUGUAAAGGGCGUGUAGGCGGGACUGCAAGUCAGAUGUGAAAACCAUGGGCUCAACCUGUGGCCUGCAUUUGAAACUGUAGUUCUUGAGUACUGGAGAGGCAGACGGAAUUCCUAGUGUGGCGGUGAAAUGCGUAGAUAUUAGGAGGAACACCAGUGGCGAAGGCGGUCUGCUGGACAGCAACUGACGCUGAGGCGCGAAAGCGUGGGGAGCAAACAGGAUUAGAUACCCUUGUA